AUUAAAAAGUAAGAUAAAUUAUAUGAGAUCUUUAAUUUGUAUAUAAGAUAAUUUUAUUUUGUUCUAAUAUCUGUGUGAUGUUAGUUUAAAAUAUUAUUUUUUAAUAUAUUGAUUUUAUAUAUUAGGUAGGUGCCCAUUCUGUUCCUAGCUUCAGAAGUUAUUUAUACCUAUGCAAUACCUUCGCUCAGAUUAAAGAAUGGAAUACUAGUCUUGCAUCAAAUAUAUAUUACAUAUCCAUUCGAUGUUUAUCACCAGAAAUUAGUUCUACCUUUGCAGUACCUCUGCUUUACAUACCUCCUCGCUGGUUAAAGAAUGGAAUAUAAAUCUCAUAUCAACAUGAGUAUGAAUCUGAUAUCAAUUGUAUGUACAAAGAUAGUUUACUUCUUAAAGAACCUAUCAGUAAACCAACUGAUUAUAAAACAGUUUUUAAUGGGAAUGAAAACAAAUUUUCAAAAGAUUUCAAUUAGCUAUUUGUAUAUUCAAACACUUUAUUUACUGAGAGAAGACACUAUAGAUUCAAGUGCUAUAAAAUAAUUUUACUACCAAAAGCGAGGUUAAUUCAAAAACUGAAACUCAACUUUGGUCAUGAAUUAUUUUAUUAGACUUGGUGAGUCUUUAUUUAUUAACAACUUAACACCAUAUUAUUAGAACUGUAUGCACAGAAAAAAAUAAAUGCUUUAGCUUUAAAUGUUUUGU
Hydra vulgaris (swiftwater hydra) is the source of this 696-nucleotide non-coding RNA. Lineage: Eukaryota; Metazoa; Cnidaria; Hydrozoa; Anthoathecata; Hydridae. The record is from RefSeq and is a predicted model, not a curated record.